Molecule: ribosomal RNA, 258 nt
Filed under: uncultured bacterium
Lineage: Bacteria
Description: partial 16S ribosomal RNA
Rfam family: Bacterial small subunit ribosomal RNA
Source: RNAcentral
GAUCCGGGCUCGGGAUGAACGCUAGCUACAGGCUUAACACAUGCAAGUCGAGGGGCAUCAGUUUGGUUUGCUUGCAAACCAAAGCUGGCGACCGGCGCACGGGUGAGUAACACGUAUCCAACCUGCCUCAUACUCGGGGAUAGCCUUUCGAAAGAAAGAUUAAUAUCCGAUAGCAUAUAUUUCCCGCAUGGGUUUUAUAUUAAAGAAAUUCGGUAUGAGAUGGGGAUGCGUUCCAUUAGUUUGUUGGGGGGGUAACGG